Molecule: transfer RNA, 76 nt
Filed under: Blastocatellia bacterium
Lineage: Bacteria; Pseudomonadati; Acidobacteriota; Blastocatellia
Description: tRNA-Glu
Rfam family: tRNA
About the family: Transfer RNA (tRNA) molecules are approximately 80 nucleotides in length.
Source: RNAcentral
GCCGCUAUGGUGUAAGUGGUUAACACGCCACCCUCUCAAGGUGGUAAUACGGGUUCGAGUCCCGUUAGCGGUACCA